Oncorhynchus tshawytscha (Chinook salmon) is the source of this 1010-nucleotide long non-coding RNA. The record is from Ensembl. Lineage: Eukaryota; Metazoa; Chordata; Actinopteri; Salmoniformes; Salmonidae.
UCUGCAACAGUGGUUUUGAUUGUUGUCACCAAAGUAGUGUCUCUGAAAGUUAGUCCCUGUGAGGGAGUUGAGGGAGUGGAUACUGCUACAAAUGUUGAGGUUCUUGUUAUUACUGUAGUAGUACCACUUGUUAAUGGCAUUAUUGGUCUUAGAGUAGUGACAUCACUUGUGACUGUCGAUGUAGCAGUGGGAGUUGUGGCAUCACUUGAAGUGACUGUAGACGUAGUUGAAGUAGUGGUGGCAUCGCUUGAAGUGACUGUGGAUGUAGUUGAGGGAGUGGUGGCAUCACUUGAAGUGACUGUAGACGUAGUUGAAGUAGUGGUGGCAUCACUUGAAGUGACUGUGGAUGUAGGUGAAGGAGUGGUGGCAUCACUUGAAGUGGAUGUUGAUGUAGUUGAGGGAGUGGUGGCAUCACUUGAAGUGACUGUAGAUGUAGUUGAAGGAGUGGUGGCAUCACUUGAAGUGGAUGUUGAUGUAGUUGAGGGAGUGGUAUCUUCAUUUGAAUUGGGUGUUAAUGUAAUAUUACUUGAAGUCAAUGUAGUAGUGGUGGUAUCACUUGAAGUUACUGUCAAUGUAGUUGAAUGAGUGAUGACAUUACUUUGAGUGACUGUUGAUGGAUUGGUGGCAUCACUUGAAGUGACUGUUGAUGUAGUUGAGGGAGUGGUGGUAUCACUUGUAGUGACUGUUGAUGUCAUUGAGGGAAUGGUGGCAUCACUUGAAGUGACUAUUAAUAUAGUUGAGGGAGUGGUGGAAUCACUUGAAGUGACUGUUGAUGUAGUUGAGGGAGUGGUGGCAUCACUUGAAGUGACUAUUAAUAUAGUUGAGGUGGUGGUGGAAUCACUUGAAGUGACUGUUGAUGCAGUUGAGGGAGUGGUGGCAUCACUUGAAGUGACUGUUGAUGUAGUUGAGGGAGUGGUGGAAUCACUUGAAGUGACUGUUGAUGUAGUUGAGUGAGUGGUGGCAUCACUUGAAGUGACUGUUGAUGUAGUGGUGGUGGUGGCAUCACUUAG